This 989-nucleotide long non-coding RNA is filed under the name Cricetulus griseus (Chinese hamster). RNAcentral describes it as "lncRNA (ENSCGRG00000026042.1)". Lineage: Eukaryota; Metazoa; Chordata; Mammalia; Rodentia; Cricetidae. The record is from RNAcentral.
CUCCAUAGCUUCUCCAAGGUUCUCUGAUAACCCUAAAGAGGACCAGCACCGUUCUAUUCCUACCAACACUUGUCUUGUGUUUUCUCCAUUCUGCUCUUACAGCUGGAAGGCCUGCCAGUCUCCUGGGCAACCUCAGCUUUCCCAGAUACCUGCCUGGGAGAGUUUGGGAAAAGAGGAGACCUUGGAGUCCGUGAAAGAAGAGGUUCUCACAGAACACAAGACAGAAACAUCAUAACUGCCACCGUCAAGGCAUCAAAGGCUUUUGCACACAAGAUCCAGUCAAAAUUAGACCCAUCUUUGGGUUCCUCAAGCUUUAGUUCAACUGAACCCCCCAAUCAGUUGAACUGUGCUAGCCCCAAUCUGCUUAGGCCAGGAGUAAGCUCUCCCUCCCGACCACUUUUAGGCAAUGGGGAUUAGACACAGGAUCUUCCAUAUGCCUUAAGCUAUAUAAACAUUCUACCACUCUGAUGGGGGAAGUCCUUCUGUGUAUAUGUUUCUCUUAUUGGUUGAUAAAUAAAGCACUGUUGGCCAAUAGGGAAGCAAGAUAGGCAGGACUAGGAGAGAAGGAGGAUUCUGGGAAAUGUAGUAAAGAAGGAGUUGCGAUGUGAUCCCAGGAAGAGAGGACGCAAGGCUGGCAUCCUCGAUAAGUCUUUAUAAAAUAUAUAAACUAGUAGUUAUGGUUGAUAAUUAAGACUGAGUUAGCAAAUAAGAAAUCCUAGUCAUUGGCCAGCAGUAUUGUAACUAAUAUAAGACUCUGUGUGUUAUUUGGGGGCCCUGACAUGGCAGUGGAACUCAGGCAACUGGUGGAAAGAGUUAUAGUUACACCACCCAGCCACAUUCCCAAUUCUUUUACACUUUAUUUAUUUAUUUUCAUAAGGUCUAUAGCCUUAAACUUUUCAUGUUCCUAAUUCUACCUCCCAUUUGCUGGAAUUAUGCAGAGACUGGACAACAAAUGAUACGCCUAUGUCUCUCAGGACUUGACAAUUAGC